AAAGACCCCAUGGAGCUUUACUGUAGUUUGAUAUUGAGUGUCUGUACCGCAUGUACAGGAUAGGUAGGAGCCGUAGAAAUCGGAACGCUAGUUUCGAUGGAGGCGCUGGUGGGAUACUACCCCUGCGUUAUGGCCACUCUAACCCGCACCACUAAUCGUGGUGGGAGACAGUGUCAGAUGGGCAGUUUGACUGGGGCGGUCGCCUCCUAAAAGGUAACGGAGGCGCCCA
RNAcentral lists this ribosomal RNA (229 nucleotides) under Enterococcus faecium. RNAcentral's name for it is "partial 23S ribosomal RNA". It matches the Rfam family "Bacterial large subunit ribosomal RNA", at positions 2084 to 2312 of the family's 2925-position model. The record is from RNAcentral. Lineage: Bacteria; Bacillati; Bacillota; Bacilli; Lactobacillales; Enterococcaceae.